Molecule: ribosomal RNA, 210 nt
Filed under: uncultured bacterium
Lineage: Bacteria
Description: partial 16S ribosomal RNA
Rfam family: Bacterial small subunit ribosomal RNA
Source: RNAcentral
GUAGUGGGGGAGUAACUCGGCGAAAGCCGUGCUAAUACCGCAUAUGCUCUACGGAGGAAAGCAGGGGACCUGAGGGUAACUGAGGGCCUUGUGCUAUGGGAGCGGCCGAUGUCCGAUUAGCUAGUUGGUGAGGUAAUGGCUCACCAAGGCGACGAUCGGUAGCUGGUCUGAGAGGAUGAUCAGCCACACUGGGACUGAGACACGGCCCAG